AUUGAACGCUGGCGGCAGGCUUUACACAUGCAAGUCGAACGGUUACAGGCCGCAAGCUGCUGGCUAGAGGCGCAGGGGGGAGUAAUACAUCUGAACAUGCCCAUGCGAGGGGGGUAACUACUCGAGAGAGUGGCGAUUAUCGCACAUGAUCUCUGGGUGAGAAAGGGGGACCGUAAGGCCCCGCGCGAUUGCAGCGGCCUCUGUCGGAUUAGGUAGUUGGUGGGGUAAAGGCUCACCAAGCCAACGAUCUGUAGCUGGUCUGAGAGGACGACCAGUCACACUGGAACUGAGACACGGUCCAGACUCCUACGGGAGGCAGCAGUGGGGAAUUUUGGACAAUGGGCGAAAGCCUGAUCCAGCAAUGCCGCGUGUGUGAAGAAGGUCUUCGGAUUGUAAAGUACUUUUAGUUGGGAGGAAGGGGAUUUAGUUAAUACCUUGGGGUAUUGACGGUACCAACAGAAUAAGCACCGGCUAACUACGUG
RNAcentral lists this ribosomal RNA (482 nucleotides) under uncultured bacterium. RNAcentral describes it as "partial 16S ribosomal RNA". It matches the Rfam family "Bacterial small subunit ribosomal RNA", at positions 30 to 507 of the family's 1533-position model. The record is from RNAcentral.